Molecule: non-coding RNA, 73 nt
Organism: Caerostris extrusa
Lineage: Eukaryota; Metazoa; Arthropoda; Arachnida; Araneae; Araneidae
Source: the annotation of a GenBank genome assembly
GCCCGAAUAGCUCAGUCGAAAGAGCUUUAGGUUUUAAACCUAUCGGUCCGGUGUUCGAGUCCCUGUUCGGGCG